GGUUCACGACCAAACGAUACGCUAUUACUAGGAUGAUAGCAAUAUCAAGUAUAGAUCGUUGCGUGCUAUAUACGUUGAUUGUCCUCGUAGCCAAAUGGUGUGGAGACACUAGCAUGGCAUGCAAGUGAGAUGUAGGAGCACAUCAUCGCUGAAUGUGACCAACUGCGGAGCACUCUACUAUUAAGGGUAGCUCACGAAAGGUAUGGAUAUAAGUGUCUCUCCAACCUG
RNAcentral lists this long non-coding RNA (228 nucleotides) under Elaeis guineensis (African oil palm). RNAcentral's name for it is "long non-coding RNA (EGUI_LNC066261)". The record is from RNAcentral. Lineage: Eukaryota; Viridiplantae; Streptophyta; Magnoliopsida; Arecales; Arecaceae.